This 202-nucleotide ribosomal RNA is filed under the name Scherotheca gigas. RNAcentral describes it as "partial 12S ribosomal RNA". The record is from RNAcentral. Lineage: Eukaryota; Metazoa; Annelida; Clitellata; Crassiclitellata; Lumbricidae.
UCAUGUGAGGGGGAUGAUGGGURACACCCUARARACAGAUACAGAUKAUGAUAUUAAGAAUCAUAUGAAGGUGGACUUGGACGUAAUACACAACUCAAAGUCRCAAUGAAAAAGAAUCUAAGACAUGUACACAUCGCCCGUCACUCUCACCUAAAGGCGAGAUAAGUCGUAACAAAGUAGGUGUAACGGAAGUUGCACCUGU